RNAcentral lists this ribosomal RNA (164 nucleotides) under uncultured bacterium. RNAcentral's name for it is "partial 16S ribosomal RNA". It matches the Rfam family "Bacterial small subunit ribosomal RNA", at positions 355 to 511 of the family's 1533-position model. The record is from RNAcentral.
UAGGGAAUCUUCCACAAUGGGCGAAAGCCUGAUGGAGCAACGCCGCGUGUGUGAUGAAGGGUUCCGGCUCGUAAAACACUGUUGUAAGAGAAGAAUGACAUUGAGAGUAACUGUUCAAUGUGUGACGGUAUCUUACCAGAAAGGAACGGCUAAAUACGUACCAG